Molecule: long non-coding RNA, 291 nt
Filed under: Lathyrus oleraceus (garden pea)
Lineage: Eukaryota; Viridiplantae; Streptophyta; Magnoliopsida; Fabales; Fabaceae
Description: Pisum sativum (pea) long non-coding RNA (PSAT_LNC014217)
Source: RNAcentral
GUAAACUACCUUAGAUCCGAUCGCCACCGGUCACUGGAGCACCUCCAUCCAUCCAGAUCUGGCAGGUUGUCUUCCUCUCCGGUCAGCACCUCUCACUAUGUCUCACGCUUUCACUCUCCCUGUAUUUGUCUCUCUUUCAUUUUCUUUAUUUUCAUUCUGAGAUCUUUGCUUUUAACAUGUUGAGUAUGGUUAACAAUAUAUAUAUUAUUUAUAUGUGGAGUAUUGUUUCAUUGUUAUUAAACGUAUGAAUGUGAUAUAGAAAAAAAAAGGCUAUGCAUAUCUAAUAUUUUC